CCAGGGAAGCCCAAGAAUACUGGAGUGGGUAGCCAUUCCCUUCUCCAGGGGAUCUUCCUGACCCAGGGAUCGAACUCAGGUCUCCCGCAUUGCGGGUAGAUUCUUAACUGUCUGAGCCACCCGGGAGCCUCUGGGGACUCAGUUCUGGAACCUCUGGUGGGACUGGCUGCCUCACUGCCUUCUGGGGUCAGAGGUCAGCCCUCGGAACCCCAGAAGGCAGUGAACCGUGGGAAGGGCAGGGUGUUGGUGGUGAGGGUGGCUGGCCCCACCUUUCUAGAUCUGAGCCCCUCGGUGAUGACCCGCCCUCCACCCUCCCCCGCCCAACACAGGCUGGAGCCCCAGAGGAUAUAUUUGACCUCCUCCGCCUCCCGCAGCACUGGCGGGAAGAUGCUGCAGUCACAGAUGGGAAAGCUGACUCCUCUGGGUAAAGUGAUGCACCCAAGGUCACCAGUUCCUCUUCAAGCAAGUCUGUCUACUCUGAGGCCUUGGCUUUACCCACACUGUUCGCUGUGUCCACCCUGCCAGCCUCCGAGAUAAGUGUACAAAUAACUACAUUCCUGUGAAACCGGC
Long non-coding RNA from Bubalus bubalis (water buffalo), 570 nucleotides. RefSeq lists it as uncharacterized. The record is from RefSeq and is a predicted model, not a curated record. The transcript is spliced from 2 exons. Lineage: Eukaryota; Metazoa; Chordata; Mammalia; Artiodactyla; Bovidae.